UUAAAAGACCAUCUAAUGGUGCCUAUAAAUGUCCAUGUGCUCUAGUUGUUUUUUAAAAAAGGUGAGUGGAAUACAAGUUAUUCAUGUGUGCCUAAAAUUCUCUCCAUUUUUCUCCAUAGAGUAAUUUGUGAGGGUGAAUCCUCUUGAUUUUCAACAGAGUGGUAUUAGAGCCAAGACUUUUCUUGUGAGAAAAAGCGAUGGCAAAUGGAAUGCUUCCAUUUCUAAUGUCGCGGUCCACCAAGGAUAGCUAUGAAAAUUGGUAUAUCCGUGGCAAUCUUGGGAUCUCAAGAUUUGUGGGAGAUCGUUGACAAAGGCUACACGGAUUCGGAGAAUCAAGAUUUCUUGACUCCAGCUCAAAAGGAGUCCUUACAAGCCACAAGAAAGAAGGAUCGGAAGGCCAUCAUGAUCAUCCAUCAAUGUUUGGAUGAUGGCAUGCUGCAACGAGUUGCUAAUGUAACUUCUUCAAAGCAAACUUGGGCGAUUCUCCAAAACUCCUAUCAAGGAGUUGACAGAGUCAAGAAGAUUUGUCUUCAAUCUUUGCGUGGUGAAUUCGAAGCCUUACAUAUGAAAGAAUCCGAAUCAAUCUCGGAUUACUCUUGAAGGGUGUUGACCGUCGUAAAUCAACUAAGGAGGUACGGCGAAAAUGUGAGUGAUACGAGAGUUAUUGAAAAAAUCCUUCGUUCAUUGGAUUCCAAGUUUAAUUUUAUUGUUGUAGCCAUUGAAGAGUCCAAAGAUCUAGACUCCAUGACAAUCGAUCAACUCAUAGGAUCACUACAAGUUCAUGAAGAGAAGGUUGUCAAGAAGCAAGAGACUUUAGAGUAAAUGUUACAAAUAAAAGUCUUUUUGAAAGAAAAAGAAGAUCGUAGUUGGAAAGGCGAAAGAGAUCGUGGACGUGGAAAUGGACAUGGUCGAGAAAGAGGUGGUCGUGGAUCAUCCAACAAAGAAGAAAAGAAGAAAGAAUGGUAUCAAUCAAGAGGACGUGGAAGAGGAAACAAUUCGAGAUCAAAUGGAGGAAGGUAUGAUAAAUCUCGAAUUCGUUGCUAUAAUUGUCAAAAAUAUGGUCAUUUUGCUUCGGAGUGUAGAGGUCCUCAAAAUGCCGAAGAAGAAACUAACUAUGUUGAAAAUGAAGAGACGGAGCAAACUUUGUUGUUGGCAUGCAAAGGAGAAGAAAAUGGAGAUCAUGAUUUAUGGUAUCUUGACAAUGCGACUAGCAACCACAUGUGCGGUGACAAAAGCAAAUUUGUGGAGUUGGAUGAAACUGCAAGCAGUAAUGUGGAUUUUGGAGAUUCUUUCAAAGUAUCGAUCAAAAAAAAAGGUACAAGUUUGAUUUGCUUGAAAAAUAGUGAUGAUUAAUUUAUUGCUAAUGUUUUUUAUGUUCCAAGCAUGAAAAAUAAUAUUUUGAGCUUAGGACAACUCUUAGAGAAAGGCUAUAAUAUUCAAAUGAAAAAUCUUAAUCUUUCGAUAAGAGAUCAAAAGAAAAGUUUAGUGGCCAAAGUUAAACUGCAUGUUUGUGCUCAACCUUUAAACCGAUGUUGCUAAAUGCUUGAAGGCUUGUGUUGAAGAUCUAAAUUGGCUUUGGCACUUAAGGCUUGGGCACUUGAAUAUUGAUGGGCUAGAAUUAUUGGCCAAGAAGAAUAUGGUGAAUGGGUUGCUCUUUAUUGACCACCCAAAUCAACUUUGUGAAGGAUGUCUCUUUGGCAAGCAAUCAAAAAAAAGCUUUCCAAAAGAAGCUAGCACAAGAGCAAUGGAACCACUACAACUUAUUGAUUCGGAUGUUUGUGGUCCAUUCAAUCCACCAUCUUUUAGUAAGAACAAGUACUUUCUCUUAUUUAUUGAUGAUUUUAGCCGAAAAACUUGGAUUUAUUUUCUUAAAGAAAAAUCGGAGGUGUUUGAAGCAUUUAAAAGAUUUAAGGCACUCAUUGAGAAACAAAAUGGUUUUGAUAUAAAGGCUAUAUGAUCCAAUAGAGGAGGUGAGUUCACAUCAAAUGCUUUCAAAAGCUUUUGUGAAGAAAUUGGAAUUUACCAUUCUUUUACCAUUCUUUAACGGUUCCAAGAUCCCCGUAACAAAAUGGGGUUGCGGAGAGAAAAAAUAGAACCAUCCUUAAUAUGGUUCGGAGUAUGUUAAAAAGCAAGAUGCCCAAAGAUUUUUGGGCCGAAGCCGUUAAUUGUGCGGUGUACUUAUCCAACCGGUGUCCUACCAAGAGUGUGCCAAAUCAAACACUACGAAAAGCAUGGAGUGGAAGAAGACCAAGUGUCUCUCAUUUGCGUGUUUUUGGAAGCAUAGCCUAUGCACAUAUAUCGGAUGAAAAGCGCUCUAAGCUAGAUGACAAUAGCGAAAAAUUGGUCUGAUUCAUUAGUUAUGAUGCAAGCUCUAAGGACUACAAGCUAUACAAUUCAAAAAGUCACAAGAUCAUCACUAGUAGAGAUGAUGAAUUUGACGAAGCAAGUUCAUAGGAUUGGAAUUCUCCAAAAGAAGAGUAUGACUUUUUUCCUUUCUUUGAAGAGGAGGAGCAAGGAAGUCAAGUCUUGGAGCCUCCUCCACCUUCAACACUUCCAUCAUCCGCUCAAGUGCAAUCAUUUCCAUUAUCAAAUGAGGCAAGUUUAAGUGAAGGACCAAGAGGCACAAGGAGUCUUCAAGACAUAUAUGAUGCCACGGAUGAGGUAACGGAAAGAUUAAGUGAUUUAACACUUUUUUAUUUUUUGACAGUAGUGAACCUCUCAGCUUUGAAGAAGCAACUCAAGACAAGAAGUGGAGAGAUGCUAUGAAUGAAGAAAUCAAAACCGUAGAGAAGAAUGAAACUUGGGAGUUCACCACUCUUCUGGAAGGGCAAAAGGCAAUCGAAGUCAAAUGGGUGUACAAGGCAAAGAAGAAUUCAAGAGGAGAAGUCGAGAGGCACAAGGCAAGACUUGUUGUCAAGGGAUACAACCAAAGUUUCGGGAUCGACUAUGAUGAAGUAUUUCCACUCGUUGCUCGUUUGGAAACUAUUAGAUUAAUUAUUUCUUUGGCGGCGCAAAACAAUUGAAAAAUCUAUCAAAUGGAUGUGAAGUUCGCUUUCUUGAAUGGUUUUCUUGAAUAAGAGAUUUAUGUGAAACAACCUUUGGGAUAUAUUGUGAAAGGACAAGAAGAUAAAGUUUUGAAAUUAAAGAAAUCCUUGUAUGGCUUGAAGCAAGCACCAAGAGCUUGGAAUACCAAAAUUGACAAGUAUUUUCAAGACAACAAGUUCACCAAAUGUCCUUAUGAGCAUGCCCUUUACACAAAGGUCAAUGAUGAUGGAGAUAUAUUCGUGGUUUACUUGUAUGUAGAUGACUUGAUUUUUACCGGCAACAAUUUUAUUAUGUUUCAAGAAUUCAAGCAAGCUAUGUCUCAAGAGUUUGAGAUGACGGACAUUGGCCUUAUGGCUUACUACCUUGGCAUUGAAGUGAAGCAAAUGAAAGAUGGAAUUUUCAUCUCUCAAGAAGGUUAUGCUAAAGAAGUUCUCAAAAGAUUCAAGAUGGAUGAUAGCAACCUGGUGAGCACUCACGUGGAAUGUGGAGUCAAAUUAUCAAGAUAUGAAGAUGGAGAAAAGGUGGAUCCUACAUUCUUCAAAAGUCUUGUUGGAAGUUUAAGAUAUUUAACUUGCAUAAGGCUGGAUAUUCUUUUUGGGGUAGGACUUGUUAGUCGGUAUAUGGAAGCUCCUACUUCAUUCCAUUUGAAGGUGGCCAAGAGAAUUCUCCACUACAUCAAAUGUACCCUUAAUUAUGGCCUAUUUUAUUCACUUGUUGUUAACUUCACACUUGUUGGAUAUAGUGAGUGAUUGGGCCGGAGAUGUGGAUGAAAGAAAAAGUACGAUGGAAUAUGUUUUCUUUAUGAAAAGUGUGGCUUUUACAUGAUCUUCAAAAAAGCAACCUAUUGUUACACUUUCUACUUGUGAAGCGGAGUAUGUUGCAAUCUUAAGUUGUGUUUGUCAAGCCAUUUGGCUAAGGUAUUUGUUGAAGGAGCUUCAUAUGUUACAAGAAGAACCAACGGAGAUUUUUGUCGACAACAAAUCAGCAAUAGCAUUAGCCAAGAAUCCGGUAUUUCAUGAGCGCAGCAAGCAUAUCGAUACAAAGUAUCAGUUCAUUAGAGAAUGUAUGGCUAAGAAGGAAGUGAAGCUCAAGUNNNNNNNNNNNNNNNNNNNNAAGAAUCCGGUAUUUCAUGAGCGCAGCAAGCAUAUCGAUACAAAGUAUCAGUUCAUUAGAGAAUGUAUGGCUAAGAAGGAAGUGAAGCUCAAGUACCCGAAGUCUCAAGUUCAAAUUGUCGAUAUUUUCACUAAGCCCCUCAAGUGUGAAACUUUUUGCAAGUUAAGGAGUUUGCUUGGAGUUGCAAAACCAAGUUUAAGGGUGGGGGUGUUGGUUAUUAAACUUGUUUUUAAUAUUAGUAACUUAUGGUUUUAUUUUCUGUAAUUGCAUAUUAGUAUGGUGAGGAGUUACAUGUUUUUUGGGUUUUUAGUCAUGUGGGAGUUACAUGGAGUUAUAAGGGUGCUAUUUGAGAUUUAUUUGGGGGUUAUGUAUGGCGUAAUGACUAAUUCAAUUAGAGAAGUUAAAAGACCAUCUAAUGGUGCCUAUAAAUGUCCGUGUGCUCUAGUUGUUUUUUAAAAAAGGUGAGUAGAAUACAAGUUAUUCAUGUGUGCCUAAAAUGCUCUCCAUUUUUUUCUCCAUAGAGUAAUUUGUGAGGAUGAAUCCUCUUGAUUUCCAACAUGAACUAGGUCACAGCGAUGUGAUCUAUUGACAAACACGUGUAAUACAACCAGAUGUUUCAUAAUAUCUGAAAGCACAAUUAGCCUAUAUUCUAUUCUGCAUCAUUUGCUUGUGGUUGUCAAUGUCAUUGCAAGAUCUGUAGUUUCCAGAUCCAUCGUUGGAUUACCAUGAUGUAAUAGUCUGGAUUAAUGAAGAUCCUCUUAGUGAUCUGUCUACCAUUUCUUGAUUGUGAUUAGACUAAACCUGCAAUUUUGCACUUGAUUAUUUAACAUGUGUAGUAAGGCAAUUGGAUCUGUUUUAUCAAAGAUGACAGAUCAUUAUACCGAAUGCCUAUGAUCUUCACUGUUGACU
This 5067-nucleotide long non-coding RNA is filed under the name Phoenix dactylifera (date palm). RNAcentral describes it as "long non-coding RNA (PDAC_LNC005870)". Lineage: Eukaryota; Viridiplantae; Streptophyta; Magnoliopsida; Arecales; Arecaceae. The record is from RNAcentral.